Molecule: ribosomal RNA, 305 nt
Filed under: uncultured bacterium
Lineage: Bacteria
Description: bacterial SSU rRNA
Rfam family: Bacterial small subunit ribosomal RNA
Source: RNAcentral
CUGUGCCUACGGGACGCAGCAGUGGGGAAUAUUGCACAAUGGGGGAAACCCUGAUGCAGCAACGCCGCGUGGGUGAAGGAGCGUUUCGGCGCGUAAAGCCCUGUCAGCGGGGAAGAAGAAAGACGGCACCCGACCAAGAAGCCCCGGCUAACUACGUGCCAGCAGCCGCGGUAAUACGUAGGGGGCGAGCGUUAUCCGGAAUUACUGGGUGUAAAGGGAGCGUAGACGGCCAGACAAGUCUGAAGUGAAAAUCCAGCGCUUAACGUUGGAAGUGCUUUGGAAACUGCCGGGCUAGAGUGCAGGAG